Oxyura jamaicensis (ruddy duck) is the source of this 249-nucleotide long non-coding RNA. RefSeq lists it as uncharacterized. NCBI's taxonomy places the organism in Eukaryota, Metazoa, Chordata, Aves, Anseriformes, Anatidae. The record is from RefSeq and is a predicted model, not a curated record. The transcript is spliced from 2 exons.
CCCUGAUGAACGGCCACAGUUUUCAGGUAUCAGACAACGCGGCUGAACGCACCGCAGCCGGGAACAGUCCCUAAAACACCAGUUUCACCUUCCCAGGAGGACUGUACAAGACAGUGGUAACUAAAGGUUUGUGAAACUUGCUUUCCCACCUUCACUGGAAGCAUCUCCUGCCUCUGUACCAGACUGGCUACUGCUAACAAGCGUGACUUUUACUAGCCGUUGUGUGACUUGUUCGCUUGCCUCAAGCUU